ACGCCUGGAAAACGCUCUUCUGAGAGGAUCUGUGGAGGUCAACCCAGGAGAGAGAAGACAGGACUGAAGCACUGAAAGGGUCCUGCCGUAAGGGCGCAGGAUUGUAUAGAAUAUAUAAUAGCAGUAGCAGCUCUGUUUACGGAGCAUUAACCUUACGUGGAGUUAUUUCCUGCAUUUCCUCCUUUCGUCUUUACAAGGUAGCCGUUUGGCGUCGUGAGAGAUUGGGUCUCUCCACAUUGCCCCGGCUGCUCUCCAACCCCUGAGUUCAAGUGAUUCACCUCCCUUGGCCUCCCAAAGAACUGGGAUUACAGACGUGAGCCACCGUGCCUGGCUGAGAAGAUGGAUUUAAGAUAUGUUUUGGAGGUAACAUUGUCAGGACUUCCUGAAGGAUUAGAUGUGGAAGGGAAGGAUAAGAAACAGACCAAGGAUAACUUUCAAAUGUAUGCUUAAGCAACUGGAUGGAUAAUGAUGCCAUUGAGUGAGUGAAAAACUUGAUGGAAGUGGAAGAUUCAGAGUUCAUUUCUAUCUAGGUUAAUUUGAGACAUACCAGAGCAUAAGUUAAGUAAGUAAUUGAAUAUUGGAGUGGAGACUUAGUCGUCUACCGAAUUAUUGUUUUCUUUGUCGGACAUACACCUACACUGCAUUCCUCAAAGUAAAUUUAAGUGUGGCUCUGUGCCUAUGCUCUCCCCAGCGGAAAGUGAGCAGAAGAGGUGUGCAGUUUCCAGGCCUGGCCCAUACAGACCUCCAACAGGUGCUCCCCUGUGCUGUUACUCCUUCUGCCAACUGGAAGCAGAUGGUGACCAGGCUCUGGAGAAGGCAAGGCCUGAAGAUGGGAGAUUCCUAAGUGGAGGAGAACUGUGCCUUACUGACCUAAAUAUCCACUCAGUAUUGUUAUGUGAGAAUAAAUAAACUUGUGUUGACCGUUUAC
This 928-nucleotide long non-coding RNA is filed under the name Pan troglodytes (chimpanzee). Its description in RNAcentral is "lincRNA". Lineage: Eukaryota; Metazoa; Chordata; Mammalia; Primates; Hominidae. The record is from RNAcentral.